CGCGGGACAACAGCUCGAAAGGGCUGCUAAUACCGCAUAAGUCGGUGACGGCCUUGGCUGUUACCGGGAAAGGAUGGCCUCUUCUAUGCUAUCGCCGGAGGAUGGGCUCGCGGCCCAUCAGCUUGAUGGUGAGGUAAUGGCUCACCAUGGCUAAGACGGGUAGCUGGUCUGAGAGGAUGAUCAGCCACACUGGGACUGAGACACGGCCCAG
This 211-nucleotide ribosomal RNA is filed under the name uncultured bacterium. RNAcentral's name for it is "partial 16S ribosomal RNA". It matches the Rfam family "Bacterial small subunit ribosomal RNA", at positions 137 to 334 of the family's 1533-position model. The record is from RNAcentral.